GCCGGACUCGGAAUGCCGCGAGACUUUGCGAGGGGCCUCCGUGUGCCAAAAAUAGGCAGCGGGCAAAGCCGGGUCAAGAAAUAACCCCCCGCAGGCCGGGGCGCCAAGUUCGUCCUGCGGAAAAAGGCCACAAAAACGGGUGGGCUAUAGCCUUGGGGGGUGGGGCUCGCCAACUUCGUCCGCCGGACUCGGAAUACAGUGAGACUUUGCGCGGGGCCUCCGUGUGCCAAAAAUAGGGCGCGGGCAAAGCCGCGUCAAGAAAUAACCGCCCGAAGGCCGGGGCGCCUAGUUCUUCCAGCGGAAAAAGGCCACAAAAACGGGUGGGCUAUAGCCUUCUGGGGUGGGGCUGGCCAACUUCGUCCGCCGGACUCGGAAUGCCGCGAGACUUUACGAGGCGCCUCCGUGUGCCAAAAAUAGGCCGCGGGCACAGCCGCGCCCAAAAAUAACCGCCCGAGGGCCGGGGCGCCAAGUUCGUCCAACGGAAAAAGGCCACAAAAACAGGUGGGCUAUAGCCUUGGGGGGUGGGGCUGGCCAACAUCGUCCGCCGGACUCGGAAUGCCGCGAUAAUUUGCGAGGGGCCUCCGUGUACCAAAAAUAGGCUGCGGGCAAAGCCGCGUCCAAAAAUAACCGCCCGAAGGCCGGGGCGCCAAGUUCGUCCAGCGGAAAAAGGCCACAAAAACGGGUGGGCUAUAGCCUUGGGGGGUGGGGCUGGCCAACUUCGUCCGCCGGACUCGGAAUGCCGCGAGACUUUGCGAGGGGCCUCCGUGUGCCAAAAAUAGGCAGCGGGCAAAGCCGGGUCAAGAAAUAACCCCCCGCAGGCCGGGGCGCCAAGUUCGUCCUGCGGAAAAAGGCCACAAAAACGGGUGGGCUAUAGCCUUGGGGGGUGGGGCUCGCCAACUUCGUCCGCCGGACUCGGAAUACAGUGAGACUUUGCGCGGGGCCUCCGUGUGCCAAAAAUAGGGCGCGGGCAAAGCCGCGUCAAGAAAUAACGGCCCGAAGGCCGGGGCGCCUAGUUCUUCCAGCGGAAAAAGGCCACAAAAACGGGUGGGCUAUAGCCUUCUGGGGUGGGGCUGGCCAACUUCGUCCGCCGGACUCGGAAUGCCGCGAGACUUUGCGAGGGGCCUCCGUGUGCCAAAAAUAGGCCGCGGGCAAAGCCACGCCCAAAAAUAACCGCCCGAAGGCCGGGGCGCCAAGUUAGUCCAGCGGAAAAAGGCCACAAAAACGGGCGGGCUAUAGCCUUGGGGGGUGGGGCUGGCCAACUUCGUCCGCCGGACUCGGAAUGCCGCGAGACUUUGUGAGGGGCCUCCGUGUACCAAAAAUAGGCCGCGGACAAAGCCACGCUCAAAAAUACCCGCCCGAAAGCUGGGGCGCCAAGUUAGUCCAGCGGAAAAGGCCCACAAAACGGGUGGGCUAUAACCUUGGGGGGGUGGGGCUGGCCAACUUUCUCCGCCGGACUCGGAAUGCCCGAAUCAUUGCGAAGGGCCUCCGUGUACCCAAAAUAGGCCGUGGACAAANNNNNNNNNNNNNNNNNNNNNNNNNNNNNNNNNNNNNNNNNNNNNNNNNNNNNNNNNNNNNNNNNNNNNNNNNNNNNNNNNNNNNNNNNNNNNNNNNNNNACAAAAACGGGUGGGCUAUAGCCUUGGGGGGUGGGGCUGGCCAACUUCGUCCGCCGGACUCGGAAUGCCGCGAGACUUUGCGAGGGUCCUCCGUGUGCCAAAAAUAGGCCGCGGGCAAAGCCACGCCCAAAAAUAACCGCCCGAAGGCCGGGGCGCCAAGUUAGUCCAGCGGAAAAAGGCCACAAAAACGGGCGGGCUAUAGCCUUGGGGGGUGGGGCUGGCCAACUUCGUCCGCCGGACUCGGAAUGCCGCGAGACUUUGUGAGGGGCCUCCGUGUACCAAAAAUAGGCCACGGACAAAGCCACGCUCAAAAAUAACCGCCCGAAGGCUGGGGCGCCAAGUUAGUCCAGCGGAAAAAGGCCACAAAAACGGGUGGGCUAUAGCCUUCGGGGGUGGGGCUGGCCAACGUCGUCCGCCGGACUCGGAAUGCCGUGAGACUUUGCGAGGGCCUCCGUGUGCCAAAAAUAGGUGGCGGGCAAAGCCGCGCCCAAAAAUAACCGCCCGAAGGCCAGGGCGCCAAGUUCGUCCAGCGGAAAAAGGCCACAAAAACGGGUGGGCUAUAGCCUUGGGGGGUGGGGCCGGCCAACUUCGUCCGCCGGACUCGGAAUGCCGCGAGACUUUGCGAGGGGCCUCCGUGUGCCAAAAAUAGGCCGCGGGCAAAGCCACGCCAAAAAAUAACCCCCCGAAGGCCGGGGCGCCAAGUUCGUCCAGCGGAAAAAGGCCACAAAAGCGGGUGGGCUAUAGCCUUGGGGGGUGGGGCUGGACAACUUCGUCCGCCGGACUCGGAAUGCCACGAGACUUUGCGAGGGGCUUCCGUGUGCCAAAAAUAAGCCGCGGUCAAAGCCGCGCCCAAAAAUAACCGCCCGAUGGCCGGGGCGCCAAGUUCGUCCAGCGGAAAAAGGCCACAAAAACAGGUGGGCUAUAGCCUUGGGGGGUGGGGCUGGCCUACUUCGUCCGCCGGACUCGGAAUGCCGCGAUACUUUGCGAGGGGCCUCCGUGUACCAAAAAUAGGCCGUGGGCAAAGCCGCGUCCAAAAAUAACAGCCCGAAGGCCGGGGCGCCAAGUUCGUCCAGCGGAAAAAGGUCACAAAAACGGGUGGGCUAUAGCCUUGGGGGGUGGGGCUGGCCAACUUCGUCCGCCGGACUCGGAAUGCCGCGAGACUUUGCGAGGGGCCUCCGUGUGCCAAAAAUAGGCCGCGGGCAAAGCCACGCCCAAAAAUAACCGCCCGAAGGCCGGGGCGCCAAGUUAGUCCAGCGGAAAAAGGCCACAAAAACGGGAGGGCUAUAACCUUGGGGGGUGGGGCUGGCCAACUUCGUCCGCCGGACUCGGAAUGCCGCGAGACUUUUUGAGGGGCCUCCGUGUACCAAAAAUAGGCCGCGGACAAAGCCACGCUCAAAAAUAACCGCCCGAAGGCUGGGGCGCCAAGUUAGUCCAGCGGAAAAAGGCCACAAAAACGGGUGGGCUACAGCCUUGGGGGGUUGGGCUGGCCACUUCGUCCGCCGGACUUGGAUUGCCGCGAGACUUUGCGAGGGGCCUCCGUGUGCCAAAAAUAGGCCGCGGGCACAGCCAUGCCCAAAACUAACCGGCCGAAGGCCGGGGCGCCAAUUUCGUCCAGCGGAAAAAGGCCACAAAAACAGGUGGGUUAUAGCCUUGGGGGGUGGGGCUGGCCAACUUCGUCCGCCGGACUCGGAAUGGCGCGAGACUUUACGAGGCGCCUCCGUGUGCCAAAAAUAGGCCGCGGGCACAGCCGCGCCCAAAAAUAACCGCCCGAGGGCCGGGGCGCCAAGUUCGUCCAACGGAAAAAGGCCACAAAAACAGGUGGGCUAUAGCCUUGGGGGGUGGGGCUGGCCAACAUCGUCCGCCGGACUCGGAAUGCCGCGAUAAUUUGCGAGGGGCCUCCGUGUACCAAAAAUAGGCUACGGGCAAAGCCGCGUCCAAAAAUAACCGCCCGAAGGCCGGGGCGCCAAGUUCGUCCAGCGGAAAAAGGCCACAAAAACGGGUGGGCUAUAGCCUUGGGGGGUGGGGCUGGCCAACUUCGUCCGCCGGACUCGGAAUGCCGCGAGACUUUGCGAGGGGCCUCCGUGUGCCAAAAAUAGUCAGCGGGCAAAGCCGGGUCAAGAAAUAACCCCCCGCAGGCCGGGGCGCCAAGUUCGUCCUGCGGAAAAGGCCACAAAAACGGGUGGGCUAUAGCCUUGGGGGGUGGGGCUCGCCAACUUCGUCCGCCGGACUCGGAAUACAGUGAGACUUUGCGCGGGGCCUCCGUGUGCCAAAAAUAGGGCGCCGGCAAAGCCGCGUCAAGAAAUAACCGCCCGAAGGCCGGGGCGCCUAGUUCUUCCAGCGGAAAAAGGCCACAAAAACGGGUGGGCUAUAGCCUUCUGGGGUGGGGCUGGCCAACUUCGUCCGCCGGACUCGGAAUGCCGCGAGACUUUGCGAGGGGCCUCCGUGUGCCAAAAAUAGGCCGCGGGCAAAGCCACGCCCAAAAAUAACCGCCCGAAGGCCGGGGCGCCAAGUUAGUCCAGCGGAAAAAGGCCACAAAAACGGGCGGGCUAUAGCCUUGGGGGGUGGGGCUGGCCAACUUCGUCCGCCGGACUCGGAAUGCCGCGAGACUUUGCGAGGGGCCUCCGUGUGCCAAAAAUAGGCCGCGGGCAAAGCCACGCCCAAAAAUAACCGCCCGAAGGCCGGGGCGCCAAGUUAGUCCAGCGGAAAAAGGCCACAAAAACGGGUGGGCUAUAGCCUUGGGGGGUGGGGCUGGCCAACUUCGUCCGCCGGACUCCGAAUGCCGCGAGACUUUGCGAGGGGCCUCCGUGUGCCAAAAAUAGGCAACGGGCAAAGCCGGGUCAAGAAAUAACCCCCCGCAGGCCGGGGCGCCAAGUUCGUCCUGCGGAGAAAUGCCACAAAAACGGGUGGGCUAUAGCCUUGGGGGGUGGGGCUCGCCAACUUCGUCCGCCGGACUCGGAAUACAGUGAGACUUUGCGCGGGGCCUCCGUGUGCCAAAAAUAGGGCGCGGGCAAAGCCGCGUCAAGAAAUAACCGCCCGAAGGCCGGGGCGCCUAGUUCUUCCAGCGGAAAAAGGCCACAAAAACGGGUGGGCUAUAGCCUUCUGGGGUGGGGCUGGCCAACUUCGUCCGCCGGACUCGGAAUGCCGCGAGAAUUUGCGAGGGGCCUCCGUGUGCCAAAAAUAGGCGGCGGGCAAAGCCGCGCCCAAAAAUAACCGCCCGAAGGCCAGGGCGCCAAGUUCGUCCAGCGGAAAAAGGCCACAAAAACGGGUGGGCUAUAGCCUUGGGGGGUGGGGCCGGCCAACUUCGUCCGCCGGACUCGGAAUGCCGCGAGACUUUGCGAGGGGCCUCCGUGUGCCAAAAAUAGGCCGCGGGCAAAGCCACGCCAAAAAAUAACCCCCCGAAGGCCGGGGCGCCAAGUUCGUCCAGCGGAAAAAGGCCACAAAAGCGGGUGGGCUAUAGCCUUGGGGGGUGGGGCUGGACAACUUCGUCCGCCGGACUCGGAAUGCCACGAGACUUUGCGAGGGGCUUCCGN
Molecule: long non-coding RNA, 5144 nt
Filed under: Citrus x clementina
Lineage: Eukaryota; Viridiplantae; Streptophyta; Magnoliopsida; Sapindales; Rutaceae
Description: Citrus clementina (C. clementina) long non-coding RNA (CCLE_LNC000651)
Source: RNAcentral